This 21-nucleotide unclassified non-coding RNA is filed under the name Mus musculus (house mouse). RNAcentral describes it as "oocyte_clustered_small_RNA12316". The record is from RNAcentral. Lineage: Eukaryota; Metazoa; Chordata; Mammalia; Rodentia; Muridae.
CCAUUCGAACUGCUCACACAG